This 254-nucleotide ribosomal RNA is filed under the name uncultured bacterium. RNAcentral's name for it is "partial 16S ribosomal RNA". It matches the Rfam family "Bacterial small subunit ribosomal RNA", at positions 524 to 776 of the family's 1533-position model. The record is from RNAcentral.
UACGGGGCGAGCAAGCGUUGUUCGGAUUUACUGGGCGUAAAGGGCGCGUAGGCGGCCAGCGCAAGUCGGUUGUGAAAUCUCCGGGCUUAACUCGGAAAGGUCAACUGAUACUGUGCGACUAGAGUGCAGAAGGGGCAACUGGAAUUCUCGGUGUAGCGGUGAAAUGCGUAGAUAUCGAGAGGAACACCUGCGGCGAAGGCGGGUUGCUGGGCUGACACUGACGCUGAUGCGCGAAAGCCAGGGGAGCGAACGGG